Molecule: ribosomal RNA, 406 nt
Filed under: uncultured bacterium
Lineage: Bacteria
Description: partial 16S ribosomal RNA
Rfam family: Bacterial small subunit ribosomal RNA
Source: RNAcentral
AUUGAACGCUGGCGGCAGGCCUAACACAUGCAAGUCGAACGAGUGGCGGACGGGUGAGUAAUGUCUGGGAAACUGCCUGAUGUAGGGGGAUAACUACUGGAAACGGUAGCUAAUACCGCAUACUAUCAGAUGUGCCCAUAUGGGAUUAGCUGGUGGGUGGGGUAACGGCUCACCAAGGCGACGAUCCCGAGCUGGUCUGAGAGGAUGACCAGCAAAAAUGGGACUGAGACACGGUCCAGACUCCCACGGGAGGCAGAAGUGGGGAAUAUUGCACAAUGGGCGCAAGCCUGAUGCAGCAAUGCCGCGUGUAUGAAGAAGGCCUUCGGGUUGUAAAGUACUUUCAGCGGGGAGGCGUUACCCGCAGAGGAAGCACCGGCUAACUCCGUGCCAGCAGCCGCGGUAAUAC